Molecule: long non-coding RNA, 1947 nt
Organism: Scleropages formosus (Asian bonytongue)
Lineage: Eukaryota; Metazoa; Chordata; Actinopteri; Osteoglossiformes; Osteoglossidae
Exons: 3
Source: RefSeq, a predicted model, not a curated record
CGUGUGCUCUGCGGGACUGCGCCGGUCCUUUGGGGGCGAAGCAGCGAUCGAAGGACUCCAGUGUGUCGGCUCUAGAGGAGGAGGAGGAAGAGGAGGAGGAGGAGGUGUCAGUCAAAGAGAGCAGAAGAGGGUGAAAAGCCACCGAUCCACCAGCACCGCAAUACCGCUGAAGACCGUCACCAGCUUCUAGAUCCGCCCUUAACAGAAACAGAGACUAAUAAAGUACCAUCAUACCCUGCCCUCUGUCCUUAAGGGGCAUUCUGACGCUGGCUGUGAUUUUCGAGUAAGAUGACGGGAGCCGAGGACGCACGAGCAGCUCUCGGAUGAUGCAUCCCGAACAGGAUCUGCGACGUCACCUUCCCAAGCCAGCGCACUUGGGCUAACAUUUCAUGAGAAAAGGUUGGUUCUACUUACCCACCACUGUCUUCUCAUGGGUGAUCUCGCUGAGGAAGUACGAGAGAAGAAGGAACCACCAAGCAAAGCAGCAUGGAAAAGUCAAGCCAACAACCAGCCCGUAGCUCUGUUUCAUGCACAACACGCCGAUCAAAGUGUGAGAGUAUCUACGGUCAUUUCGUACGCCAGCAGGUGGCAUAGCGGCUACAACCACUGACCCUAAUCCCACCUCCUGCUGUAGUACCCUUUAGCAAGGUACCUAACCCUAAAUGGCUCCCAUUAUAAUUAUGGAGCGAUGAUGGGAGAGCACACUUCAAUUUACCAAAAGAUGCUUCAUUUUUCGGGACGUGUUGAAAAAUAAAACACCCUUUGUCAAACCUGAGUGUGCUUUCCCAUCAUUGCUCCAAAAUCUUACAUACACCCUGGAGUUUCGAGCACCCAAGCCCUUGGUUCUUUAUUAUCACCAAGUUGCUUGUAUUUUUUUGUGAUUUCCAAUAACAAUUACUCAGCUGUAUAAAGUAGCUUAACAUUAUUGGCCACCUUGGAGAAAUUUGCAAGCUAAAUGGGAAAAAUGCACAAAAAUCAAUUUUUAUACCAAGUUAAAGAAUCAGAAUCUCCCCAAAAGAGACAGCGACUCAGUUGCCGACGUCAUACACAUAUAAUGCCACUUUUACAAAAGCUGAAUGGGACAAUACUAGGUGAACGUGGUCUCUCUAUUUGGUGGUUGUGGAAUCGGCGUUUUCUGUUCCCACUGGGCCCGACGCACCCGGAGACCCGGAAAGAGAGCACGUGAAUCAAUACACCCCGGCGGCAUCCAUCAGGCCAAACAAACAUCCAGUGCAGGAGCCAGUGAAAGAAAGGAAGAGUAAUGUUUCAGUCCUGCAAACAUCCACAGAAUCAAUCACGGUGAUGGACCGUCACGCUUGCUCGGAACCACGGUUCUCCGAGAAACCGCUGAAAAAUACCGAUCCAUCGACGCCGCGGCCCCGUGCAUUCGUUCGGCACGUUUCUGCUGCUAAACCGGCACGAACUGGAUGUAGAAAUUGUGGCGCUGAAUACUUUAUGCCAUAACGUUCAUGUGUCGGCUAAAAUAAAAACUUCAGCUAAGUGAAUAAAAUCUUUCCCUAAAUGUAAAAGCACUGGGGGGAAAAAAAAUGUGGUUACAAAGCCUGGCACACAAAAAGAUGAGAAAAAUCAAAAAGUACCCAUAAUAAUGGCUUUUUUAUUAUGCUGGCUGAAUAGAGAGAGAGAGAGAGACGCAGGUCCAAACUGCUCUGGUUAACUGUUGCCAUGCGUACCGCCGUCAACACGGCUGAUGACCUCUCUGAAGAAGAUCAGAGCGCCGCAAUCUGUAUUUCGAGGACUAAAGGUGCAUCAGGAGCACAGAUCCAUCAUCGACUUCCAGCACAGUAUGGAAACACAGUUUUGCCCCCACCAAGUGCCCACGCACGGUUUGAAAAGUUCCGUAAUCUCUGCCUUCUUUUUCACUGAAAAAGUUGGGGAUUCUUUUCGACUUACGCUCGUAUUUGCAAACGUGGGAAGUUUUUAUUUGAU